Molecule: ribosomal RNA, 578 nt
Filed under: uncultured bacterium
Lineage: Bacteria
Description: partial 16S ribosomal RNA
Rfam family: Bacterial small subunit ribosomal RNA
Source: RNAcentral
UGGGGAAUUUUGGACAAUGGGCGAAAGCCUGAUCCAGCAAUGCCGCGUGUGUGAAGAAGGCCUUCGGGUUGUAAAGCACUUUUGUCCGGAAAGAAAUCCUUGGCUCUAAUACAGUCGGGGGAUGACGGUACCGGAAGAAUAAGCACCGGCUAACUACGUGCCAGCAGCCGCGGUAAUACGUAGGGUGCAAGCGUUAAUCGGAAUUACUGGGCGUAAAGCGUGCGCAGGCGGUUUGCUAAGACCGAUGUGAAAUCCCCGGGCUCAACCUGGGAACUGCAUUGGUGACUGGCAGGCUAGAGUAUGGCAGAGGGGGGUAGAAUUCCACGUGUAGCAGUGAAAUGCGUAGAGAUGUGGAGGAAUACCGAUGGCGAAGGCAGCCCCCUGGGCAAUACUGACGCUCAUGCACGAAAGCGUGGGGAGCAAACAGGAUUAGAUACCCCUGGUAGUCCACGCCCUAAACGAUGUCAACUAGUUGUUGGGGAUUCAUUUUCCUAGUAACGUAGCUAACGCGUGAAGUUGACCGCCUGGGGAGUACGUCGCAAGAUUAAAACUCAAAGGAAUUGACGGGGUCAUAGCUG